GAAGCAGCCACCCUUGAAAGAGUGCGUAAUAGCUCACUGGUCUAGUGAUUCCGCGCCGACAAUGUAGCGGGGCUCAAGCGUACCGCCGAAGUCGUGUCAUUGCAGCAAUACGGCCAACGCCGGCUGUGAUGGGUAGGGGAGCGUCGUGUGCCGGGUGAAGCAGCCGCGGAAGCGAGUUGUGGACGGUUCACGAGUGAGAAUGCAGGCAUGAGUAGCGAUACAAACGUGAGAAACGUUUGCGCCGAUUGACUAAGGGUUCCUGGGUCAAGCUGAUCUGCCCAGGGUAAGUCGGGACCUAAGGCGAGGCCGACAGGCGUAGUCGAUGGAUAACCGGUUGAUAUUCCGGUACCCGCUGUGAAGCGUCAAACAUCGAGCAUCGUGAUGCUAAGGCCGUGAAGCCGCCCUGAUCUCUUCGGAGUUGAGGGGAGUGGUGGAGCCGCCGAACCAAGCGGUUAGUAGGUGAGUGAUGGGGUGACGCAGGAAGGUAGUCCAUCCCGGGCGGUGGUUGUCCCGGGGUAAGGGUGUAGGACGUCAGGUAGGUAAAUCCGCCUGGCAAUAGUCUGAGACCUGAUGCCGAGCCGAUUGUGGUGAAGUGGAUGAUCCUAUGCUGUCGAGAAAAGCCUCUAGCGAGUUUCAUGGCGGCCCGUACCCUAAACCGACUCAGGUGGUCAGGUAGAGAAUACCGAGGCGUUCGGGUGAACUAUGGUUAAGGAACUCGGCAAAAUGCCCCCGUAACUUCGGGAGAAGGGGGGCCACACCCGGUGACCGGAUUUACUCCGUGAGCUGGGGGUGGCCGCAGAGACCAGCGAGAAGCGACUGUUUACUAAAAACACAGGUCCGUGCGAAGCCGUAAGGCGAUGUAUACGGACUGACGCCUGCCCGGUGCUGGAACGUUAAGGGGACCGGUUAGUCACAUUUCGGUGUGGCGAAGCUGAGAACUUAAGCGCCAGUAAACGGCGGUGGUAACUAUAACCAUCCUAAGGUAGCGAAAUUCCUUGUCGGGUAAGUUCCGACCUGCACGAAUGGCGUAACGACUUCUCGACUGUCUCAACCAUAGGCCCGGUGAAAUUGCACUACGAGUAAAGAUGCUCGUUUCGCGCAGCAGGACGGAAAGACCCCGGGACCUUUACUACAGUUUGAUAUUGGUGUUCGGUUCGGCUUGUGUAGGAUAGCUGGGAGACUUUGAAGCUCGCACGCCAGUGUGGGUGGAGUCGUCGUUGAAAUACCAGUCUGGUCGUGCUGGAUGUCUAACCUGGGUCCGUGAUCCGGAUCAGGGACAGUGUCUGAUGGGUAGUUUAACUGGGGCGGUUGCCUCCUAAAGAGUAACGGAGGCGCCCAAAGGUUCCCUCAGCCUGGUUGGCAAUCAGGUGUUGAGUGUAAGUGCACAAGGGAGCUUGACUGUGAGACCGACGGGUCGAGCAGGGACGAAAGUCGGGACUAGUGAUCCGGCGGUGGCUUGUGGAAGCGCCGUCGCUCAACGGAUAAAAGGUACCCCGGGGAUAACAGGCUGAUCUUCCCCAAGAGUCCAUAUCGACGGGAUGGUUUGGCACCUCGAUGUCGGCUCGUCGCAUCCUGGGGCUGGAGUCGGUCCCAAGGGUUGGGCUGUUCGCCCAUUAAAGCGGUACGCGAGCUGGGUUUAGAACGUCGUGAGACAGUUCGGUCCCUAUCCGCUGUGCGCGUAGGAGUCUUGAGAAGGGCUGUCCCUAGUACGAGAGGACCGGGACGGACGAACCUCUGGUGUGCCAGUUGUUCUGCCAAGGGCAUGGCUGGUUGGCUACGUUCGGGAGGGAUAACCGCUGAAAGCAUCUAAGCGGGAAGCCUGCUUCGAGAUGAGGACUCCCACCCCCUUGAGGGGUUAAGGCUCCCAGUAGACGACUGGGUUGAUAGGCCGGAUCUGGAAGCACCGUGAGGUGUGGAGGUGACCGGUACUAAUAGGCCGAGGGCUUGUCCUCAGUUG
Molecule: ribosomal RNA, 1957 nt
Filed under: Streptomyces sp. CS159
Lineage: Bacteria; Bacillati; Actinomycetota; Actinomycetes; Kitasatosporales; Streptomycetaceae
Description: bacterial LSU rRNA
Rfam family: Bacterial large subunit ribosomal RNA
Source: RNAcentral